AUGCUUGCUUCAGCAGCACAUAUACUAUAAUUGAAAUGAUACAGAGAAGAUUAGCAUGGCCCCUGAGCAAGGAUGACACACAAAUUCAUGAAGCAUUCCAUAUUUUU
This 107-nucleotide small nuclear RNA is filed under the name Prolemur simus (greater bamboo lemur). Lineage: Eukaryota; Metazoa; Chordata; Mammalia; Primates; Lemuridae. The record is from RNAcentral.